Molecule: ribosomal RNA, 262 nt
Filed under: uncultured archaeon
Lineage: Archaea
Description: partial 16S ribosomal RNA
Rfam family: Archaeal small subunit ribosomal RNA
Source: RNAcentral
CAGCCGUAAACUAUGCGCGUUAGGUGUAUCGGUGACCACGAGUUACCGAGGUGCCGAAGGGAAACCGUGAAACGUGCCGCCUGGGAAGUACGGUCGCAAGGCUGAAACUUAAAGGAAUUGGGCGGGGGAGCACCACAACGGGUGGAGCCUGCGGUUUAAUUGGACUCAACGCCGGGAAGCUCACCGGAUAAGACAGCGGAAUGAUUGCCGGGCUGAAGACUCUGCAUGACUAGCUGAGAGGAGGUGCAUGGCGUAGACGUCU